Molecule: long non-coding RNA, 2467 nt
Filed under: Schistocerca americana (American grasshopper)
Lineage: Eukaryota; Metazoa; Arthropoda; Insecta; Orthoptera; Acrididae
Description: uncharacterized LOC124553835
Source: RNAcentral
AGUCGCUGCCUGCAAAAGUUUCACAUCCGCACACUGCACAGGUUACAGCUGACUGCAGUUCGUGACAUGUUCGUUUAAAGUAGGAGAUAUUGGGCUUUCUCGUCUUGAAUAAACUAACAAUGCUGUGCUUUUGGUUGUACCUUCGAAGAGAAGAAGAGAGGGACGCAGGAAGAAGAAGAAUAAUACGGCUGAUGAACAUCUGCAGAGCAUACUGGCAGAUUACAAAAGCAACUGCUUUGUGUAAAAAUCACUUUACUCCAGACCAGUUUGAACCGACAGACUUGGUGGAGUGGUAAAACGUAAACCAAAUGCUGUGCCAACAAUUUUUGGUGAUCGUAAAGCUCCUGCCGAGAGGAAACCUGUUGGCCUACUGGAGAAACGUACUGAGGAUACAGAGGUUGGAGAGCCUUCGAAUGUGACCAAUGACGUCAGUCCUGCAGCGAACUUGGACACGACAGAAGAUGAAGUCACCACCCUGAAGAACCUAGCUUCAGGCUGGAACUGAAGCUUUCAAGAGAAAACUCACCCUCUCUCAGAAAAGGGAGAGAAGAGUGUCUUUAGAAAAAGACAGCCUCUUAGCGAGUCUGCACGGUUUAUUCGGUGCAGAUCAGUUUGUAGUAUGAGUGAAGGGGACACGUGAAGGUAGCAAAUGGUCAGUGGAAAGGGCUAAAAAUUCGACCACCUUGUAGUAGUAAGGGGUGCAAAGUCCUGCUGGAAAAUAAAUUACCAUUUCCUUCAGAUAGAACCCCAAUAUGUUCGCUACAGAGCAUAAAAGUUAGACCUGGUGUGCCGAGGGAGCUCGUGAGUUUCCUGAGAGUCAAGCUUGCCCUCAUGUUACCAGUGGAGAUGCAUGCUGUUCUCCUGAUGGAUGAGGUUAGUAUCACUCACCAUUGGAAUGUGGUUGAGCAUUGGCUGCACCAUUGAUAAUGAUAAGACACCUCCACCAGAACUCGCCCUUGCAAAAACUAUAGCUUCUAAUGCAUCAGUUGUUAUGCUGGGUGGUAUUACCUCAAGAUGGAAACAAACAAUAGGUUACCAUUACACAGGGCCAUCUUUUUCCAGUUCUCACCCCAGACAUUACUAUAAGCUUUAUUAGGGAAUCUUAGGCACUCGUACAAUGUUCGCUGCAUCGCGUCAGUGACGGGAGGGCAGAAUUGAGCUGUAUGGCGAGAAUUUGGAAUUGUUGUCGAAAGGUUUUCAAAAUUAGUUUCUGCCAGUGUCUUUGUGAUGAUAAUUGGAAACUAAUUUUCCUCACAGAUACACCACACAUUUUGAAAAACGAGGAUUCACUUAGUCAAUGGGCAAUCGGUCUUCCUCUGACGAAAUGUUGUCAAGGGACAUGAUCUGCCUUGUAAUGAGGUACAUAUAAAUCGUGUAUAACAGUGGCUUGAGGUAGACAGUGGUUUAAGUCUUAAACUGGCACCAAAACUGUGUGAGGGAUGUCUGAGGCCAAACCAUUACGAGAAAAUGAAAGUUGGCUCAUCUACUGCCAUAAUUAACAGCCAGACUGCAGCAGCCAGUGAGUGUGCUGUAAAGACAGAGAAACUGCAGAAAAAUACUUUAACCACAGCACGGUUGCUAAAGCACGUUCGUGAGUGGUCUUGCCUCAUGACAUCCAGAGCUCCAGUUAUGCCUCUGAGUCGUUCUGAUGAACAAACAUACAGUGAGGCUCUCUGUCAUCUUUAGGACACUCUGUGAUUAUUUGGAAACUUGAAAAUUGGGCUGAGCAGUGCCUGGAAACCAGUUCAGUGUGGUGUAGUUUUGACAGCUGGAGGUAUUUUGGGAUUGCAGAACACAUUCCUGAAUGAGAAGAAAUUAAAAUUUUUGCUAAUAAGUAGAUUUACACAAGAUACCUUGGAAAAUCUGUUAGCAAUGCUCCACUUCAAAAAUCCAGUACCAACGCUACGAGAAGUAAAAUCGUCACUGAGGGUUAUUACUCUUUCUCAGUUCUUUAAUACUGCCACUGAUAAUUAUGAAAAUGAAGGCAGUAGUUUGCAGUCAGAACUAGUGAAGAUGGGGAUGUCUGUGCUGAGGAAGUUGGUGAGCCACUUUGUAACAUGGUGUGUGACGAAGAGCAGCAGUCCCAAUACUAUUUGUGUGGUCACACUGUCAGGCAGGUUAUGAAGCGUCACGCACUUUGCAAAUUUUUCGAGAAGCGCCUAAUAGCGUGCAAAGAAAAUCUCUGUACCUGUGUGAACGUGCUUUUACAUCUGAAGUCCUUCACUGAUACCUCACUUAUUGAGCCAUCACGUGAGGUUUUCAGUGUGUUGCAAAAGGCAGAGAUGUGUUUGAGAAGCAACAAGAAGAAAUUACUCACAGGUGAAUUGUUGCUCUGUGAUGUAGCCACUGCCGUGCCUGCAUCAGUGAAAGAGAAAGUAGUUUUCCCAGCCUGCCACAGUGUACAGGAGAAAAUAAUUCACAGUUUCCUGGCAACAAGAAUUCAUCUGGUGCCAAGGGAGGGAAAUAA